GGCAGCAGUCUGCAGGGUUUGACGCAGGACGAGUCUGAGUGCCUUCAGUGACCACAGACAUCACACACAGUUAUUUCAGUAGACAGGCUCAAGGAAGCACAAAGAGACCAGGACAAAAGUCAGAGGAUGUGGAAAACAAACAUUCAUGAUGACAGAAGCGGUGAAGACAAAUUCACUUGUUGAUGGAGACCAGCAGACUGUGGAUUUAGGAGAAAACCGUUAUCGAGUCCCACCUUCGCCCUUGAAACGGACAUCGAUCUGGCAGCCAGAAGAUCCGUGACCCUGGAGGACGAUCAAUGACCUGCGCUUCACUCGCUCAACAUCAGCUGAGGAUUAAACCAUUUCCCUGCACAACACAAUUAACUCCAAUAAACCUCAAGUCAAUACUGAGGAGCAAAAUACACAUACAGCACAGAACACUGGAGGAAACACUGAAAAAACUGUAUAGGCAUAUUUUACAAUUUAUAUAGCUGUAAAAUAGCAGUUUACAAUUGUU
Long non-coding RNA from Danio aesculapii, 496 nucleotides. RefSeq lists it as uncharacterized. NCBI's taxonomy places the organism in Eukaryota, Metazoa, Chordata, Actinopteri, Cypriniformes, Danionidae. The transcript has 3 exons. The record is from RefSeq and is a predicted model, not a curated record.